Micropterus dolomieu (smallmouth bass) is the source of this 2414-nucleotide long non-coding RNA. RefSeq lists it as uncharacterized. The transcript is spliced from 3 exons. Lineage: Eukaryota; Metazoa; Chordata; Actinopteri; Centrarchiformes; Centrarchidae. The record is from RefSeq and is a predicted model, not a curated record.
CUGGACUGAGUGGCAAAACAUCUGAUAACAUGGCUGUGUACAGCAGUGGAAACAACGAAACCGGGAGUAAAACAUGCGAUUAUCUGCUCAAAUUAAAGGCAGGUGGACUCGACAGUUAUCCUUACAGCUUAACAAAGAACCAGUGGUCCAUGGACAUCGAGAUGUGGCCAGUAAUCGAGUUUCCUAACACAAUACACAAAAAACAAAGUCUGAAGGCGUAUAAAAGCCUUGACGCUUGCUCGUAACGUUACUUCAAGGCAGGAUUUAUCGGCGAAAUGAAAAUGACGAGGACACCUAUGGAUAUUUUGGUCGUCUGUGGACAGCGAUAUCUUUGCAGGUGAAACACAGCCGGAGAAUGAAUGAGCCCCCAUUGAAACCUUGGAUAGCUGCAGAGAAGACAGGGACCGUUUCGACAGCUCAUUGUACAUGUAUGGCAGGACUUCGAGAGACCUGUUCGCGUGCAGCAGCUUUGAUGUUUGCAGUUAUGUCCGGAGUCAGGAUGCGCGAUGACACACCGUGUACUUCAUUGCCAUGCCGGUGGCUUCAGCCAACACAAAGAAAAUAUCUUGCUCUGAACUGUCUUCUAUAGGUAUGACAUGUCCCAGAACAUAGAAAGGUUUUGAAUCCAUGACAUGAAUGUGAUUAUCGAAGCUACACGAAGGAAUUCUGUGUCCUAUGAUGCUAUACCUAAACCUACAGAAAAUGAACUUGCAGACUUUCUGGACAAGCUAAAGCAGCAAACCCAAGAGCAGCUGUGCUCUCUGUAGCUCCAAAACACUCGAAUUUGUCCCUGUGGCUCUGAAAGGUGUCUAUCCUACACCGUUAGGACAACUUUAUGAAGUUGAGAAUGCUGGUCUGACCUACAUUUAACUUCUUGAAAAAUGUGAUAAGGUCUUUGAGGAUUUGAAGAUCACAGACGCCCAGUGUCAGCUUGUUCAACAGGAGACAAAGGGACAGGCUUCAUCAAGGAUGUGGUAUACCUACAGAUAUGGCAGGAUAACCGCUUCCAAGUUUGGUGCGGUUAUAAAGAGCAGUGAUGAUAAGCUCUUUUCUUCCCAUAGUCAGCAAAGUUUACUACUGCAGCAACAAGGUGGGGCAUUCAGCAGGAUACCAAGGCUAAGGAGGAAUAUGUCAUCAAGACACGUCAAUUCUGAUGUAACCCCCACUGGGCUCUAUAUUUCCCAACAGUACACUCAUCUUGGUGCAUCACCUGAUGGGAAGGUGUCUUGUGACUGUUGUGGCUCUGGGUGCCUGGAAAUAAAACGCACUUACUUGGCAAAAGACAACACACCAGUUGUGGCUGGUGAUAAUUAUUUUGGGGGGGGGGGCGCUUUAAAUGUGUGUGUGUGCCGACACUUUGAAAUAAAAGACAGGGAAAGCAAAAAAGGGCAUUGCUAACAUCACAUCCAGCCAGCCACCUCCGUUUCUCAUAACAAGCGCGAGUGAAGCUUUGAGUUUAGCUUCUUCCUCUAUCACAGGCCUGCUGCUGGAUUUGUAAAUCGGGUUGGUCAGGUCGGAGAUCCUUUAUUCUUUUUUUUUAUUCCAGCGAACGCCUUGUGAAAGGGUUUUUUUGUAAAUCAAUGACAGAAUUUGGUUUAAAUGCUGCCAUUUAUCUAUACGAAAGUGAUCACUGAUUAGCCUAGCAAGGUUUUGGAAAAGUCGAAGUGACUGUGUCACCUGUGCACUCGCAGUACAGUAGUGGCCAAGAGCGUAAAGUUGAAUGACAGGUGAUGAGAACCAAUCAGAUUGGAUAAAAUAACAUGUAUCCAAUUCUGAUUCACCAGGGACACAGCGACCUGCGUCCAAAGGAGAAUCUUUAAGAAACCAAUUAGAGACCAGCUUCAAGCCACAUGCUGCCUGAAAAUUUAAGGACUCAGAUAGAUAUCCAUUUGUCCGGGGUACAACAGUAGACUACUUUGGGGGAACUACUGGACAUUUUGAAAAGCCUCAAGUUACUUACUCUUGCUUGUAUAAUGUUAUCUGGUAUGUUUCAACCUCACAUUUAAAGGAGCAGUUUGUGACACAUUUCAAACAAGGUAAACAUCUUUUACAUUACAGUUCUAAACAAAGGUUUUACAGUUUUCUUUUUCUAAUUAUCUGUUAGUCUUUACAUUGUUUAUGAAAUAUAGUUGUUUAGAAUGUUAAGCUUAAAAGGAGCUUUUUUCCCCAACUGGUUUUCAUGUCCAAGGUUGGAAAGUAAAUAGUCAAAACUGUUAGAGAAAAGUUUCAGCAUACCAAAAUAUAAUUUUAUUUGUCAGGCUUACUUUACAAACGUUUCAGUCACACAAUCUUCAUCAGAGCAUUACAGGUAUGUGUCAAAAUGUAAAAAUAUGCAGUCACUAAAAAAUGUGAAAAUACCAAACAUUAAUGUGGAAAUACUGUAUACAUUACAGAAUAAAUAUUUACAAAAUGUA